ACUGUGAAAAGAGGGGACUAACUGGGUAAGUUUCAUUUGGAAAUCUGUAUUUCUUCACUGACCUUUUGGAGAAAUGUUAUUUUGCAAUGGGUAAAUCAGGGAGAAGCAAUGAAAGUAAUGCUAGCAUGAACAGCGAUCUGCAAAUCUUGCAAACUGACUUCUGACUUAAAAGGUCUUUUUGACCUUUUGUUGAAACCCUUUAAGGUUUGUUCAUUAGAUUGUCCCUUUCUUCGUGUGACUCUAUGGCAGCUGCAUUUAUCUGAGUUGUCUGAGCUGCAAGGUGGCUUCUUGGUUUAAAAAUGUCAACAAGGCAGCUGCUAGUAAUGUAUUUUGACUGUGGUGCUCACCUUCAGAUUUCUAUUUGCUAAAGCCCAGACCGGAUUGCCACACAUUGUAUUUACAGUCUGGGAUAUAAAAAUGGCUCCAUAUUAUCUUUGCAACACUGAGCCAAAACACGUGUUAAAAUGCAGUCAAGCUAUGUUGCUUCUCCAGAUACAACUUACCCAAAUCUUUCCAGGCAAAGAUGCAAAGCAUUUUUUUUUUCUGUUACACAAGUUAUUUGGUUUUUAAUUUGUCCUCAUUUAUAUAACCAAAACACGUUUUCCAAAAUGUAAGAGCAAUGGUGGCUCAUUUCACUGUCAGACAUCACAGUGCUGUUACAGCUGACAAAUUUCAUAAUUAACCGUACCAAGACAAAAGUAGGUCUCUGUGCCUUAGGCUCAAGCUUUUUAUAUCGUGAAGCAUGAACUGCAUAAACGACAUCUCGUUACUGAUGUACACUUCAGCCUUAUUACAGAAUGCUUUUACGGAGCUCUCCUGGGAGGGUGAAAAUGGAGUUCUAAACGCAGGAUAUGCUCACUUUCACAAAAGAGACAGAAAGAAAAAUCAAACCCAGGAAAUUAAAUGUGCGUGCAGAGUGUUGAAAUUCAUAAUCCAAUUACUUGUAAAAGCCCAGCAGAAUACAUAAGAAAAUCUAAAUAUACAAAAUGAAAGAGCUUAAAUACGCUAUUUUACCUAAAGUAUUCUGAUUACUACUGUUCUGCACAUCUGUUCUGCAAUGCCAUUUUUAGAAAUAGCAGCAAGAGGUUUCCAUAUACUAUUGCAUAUCUAACUAAAGAGGAGAUUUAAAAAUAGAACAUGUAGUAGGGAUGAUAACAGAAGCAAUGUGUCAUAUGCCAUGUGUUACAGUUCCCUGUUUUCCAUGGUUAAUACCUUAAAAAUAUCCUCUGUGAUGACAUUUCCUAGAGUAGAAUCUGAAAAUGAAGUCUUCCGUGUUUUAGAGAGAGAGACAGAAAUCACAUUCAUAGAUUCUGGGUGCAAGGAAACAAAAACUAGAGUGUGUACAAAUAGAAAAAUGCUGAUUCCCACUAUAUUAAAAAUAUAUUUUCCUGAAAGUAUUUAAAAUAAAUUUCUAUGUCUGAAAUGACUGAUGGUUCAAAUACAGACCCAGAAUAUGAAAUGACAUUCACAGUGACAAACCGGCUCAGCCAUAUGGGAGCUGAAGAAUACUACAAGAAGUUUGGGCAUUGCUAAGGUGGGAUGUAAUCAACAUGUGUAAGCAGCUAACUUUGCCACAAAACCCAAUGACUCGUUAUAUACAUCACAGAGGCCUCAAGAGUAAACAACACAUCUAAUCUCUUUUCCUAAAACUUAUACUAGAUGGAUACAUGGAAGCUUUUAAGUUAGAAGGAAGUUACUCUAAUGGGGAAGUGUUGUUUUAACCUAAUGAAUCAUUUGGAUCAAUUUAUGCCUUUACAAUAAUGUAGAUAACAGAAAUAAACUCAGUUAUGCUUGACAUAGUUAAGAAAAUCAGGAAACCAUUUAUUUUAUGUUUUUGGAAAAAAGUAAGCUGUGUGAAUCUCAACAAGACUGUUACUACAGUAUCAAAUUUAACUUCUUAUCAGAUUAAUCUGCACAUGUUUAAACAGUUGGACAUGGUAAAUGCAAAACCAGAGGCAACACUUUAAAGGAUAUAUGUUAGUAAAAAGAAAAAAAUCAUGUUAUUUCGGUAUCAAAACUAAUUAGAUAUCAUUCUACAUUAUGGGGGGUGGAGGAGGGAAACAUUAUUCCUGCAUUUAUUAGAGUGCCUUAUAAGUAGUGGAGACCAACAAGGUGUAUUGACUAGAUUUACAGUGUCUCAGAAGUAUUUGGACUGUGCUCCUACUUACUUACUCCAGUCUUCUUUUUUUUUUUUUUUUUUUUUCUCUGAAUAUGUUAACAAAGUUCUUUGCUAAGAAAAUUAUAUAAAAUACUUCUUUUUCCUUGAUGCAGAUAUCCUAGAGACUAUGGCAAACAUGAGGAAAAAACAACUGGUAAAUGUUUAAUUGCUACUGUUCUUUGAAGCCAAAGUACAACAUUCCUGGGUGCACAGAUUGUUGGCUAAUGUGAACCAGGAUGACUUCAGACACGCUGGUUAAGUAACAAGAACUUUGUUUCUUCUUUUGGUUUUAGUAAUGCUCUGUCCUAAGGGCACUGGAGAAUAUCUUUACCUAACUUAAUGGAAAGGCCUGGUGACAAUCUGCUCUCUCAGCUGUAUGUUCUACCCUGUGGAUAGUUUGUGAUUUCAACUAUUGGGAAGAUUGUAUCUCCUGUGAGGAACUAUAAUUUUCUUCCAUGGUGUAGCUACAGUGUGAUGUGGGAAAGCAGACUGUUCUACAUCCUUGCCUGGACAUGUGGUUUAAGCAUAGCCCUUUAAAGACCUCCAGUGUAUCAAGGAGGACAGCAUGGUGCUUACCAGACACCAUACCGCUGGACAGAAGUGGUAAACUAGACCCUGUGAGAGCAGAGCGCUACUGGAAGUGAACAGGGUGACUUGCAGCCAAAGGGACUUGCAGCAAUAGCCAAAUGACCUGGGGUCUUAGUGAGUCCAAGAUCAAUGCCAGGAAUCUGCCAUACACGAAUCACUGCCAACUGGAUGAAGAAACCAGCAGUAGCAGUUAACUUUGUAUCAACUCAACCUACAAUGUAUUCAUUUUGGAAAAGCAACAUGAGCUUGUGCAACACUGUGUCCAGAAGUAUCUCAUAAACCCCAGAAAGACCUCAAACACCUCUGUAUAAAGCUGGAGCCACAACACAAGUUAAUAAGAAUAAUAUAAGUUUUAGCAAACCAACUGGAAUAAUUAAUGUUGGAUGUGCUUCUUCAAGUUUGCUCUUCAACCAAAGAAAAUCCUGAUAUCGCCGUCGAACCUCAUAUUCACAGGAGUCAAAUUCACCACGAGAUGUCUGAAAACAAUGAACAGAAAACACAGGUCCAGGAAGUUAGAAGAGCAAGUAAAAAGCACAAUAUCAUUUCAUAUUUUGAAUAAAACUGCAUACAUGAUUCUAGUUUGCCUGUGCUAUUUGCUGGCAGUUUUUAAAGAGCAAAUGAUCAACUGCUUUAGGAGACAUAGCAUUUUCAAGAAAUCAAAGUUCUACAUCAAUUAAAAAUAAAAUAAAUAAAAACAAACAACACAACAGAUUGACUUUAAAUAAUCAGCCUGACAGUGUUUCCAAAAGAUUCCAACCAUCACUUUAAUGUGGUGUUUCCCUUUUAACAAUCAUAGUUACCUUCACUACAUUUAGGGCACUUCUGAAGGGUUUAAAAAUCAAAGAGUGAAGAAAGCCCAUUUUUUAGCAUUUUGGAAAAUAUAGAUGGAGCUGACAAAUGUCCUUGAGGCCUGCUGACACCAUCCAACAAUCCCUGCUUUCAACGCAUGAAAACUUCAGCAUAUCAUAGCACAUGGCCCAUGCUGUUUAAUGGAUUCUACAGUCCAUCAAUCCCAGGUUUGCAGCUCUUUGUCAGAGCUUGCCAAUAAAUCUUUAAUACUUAGAAAAAAAUGCUUAUUGCAGCAUUGCAAAAUCAUCAAACUGCGAGAUUUUAUCCUUGCUUCAUCUUCUGGAAUCAAGCUACAAAGAGCCCCAGUGUUCAGCAAAGUGAUGCAGCUGUUUAGCAUUCAUUGUUGCACAGAGAUUUACAGUGUGAUGCAAACACAUGGCAAAAGAAGUCACACUCUUGUAACCUAAACAUUUUUGAGGACUCGAUAAACUUUUUUCCAGGUAUGUGGGAGGAAUGCUUUUACUUUAUCAUCAACAGCCAGCACUUCAAAUUAAAUAUGAUAAGAUAAAGAAGCAAAAGCAAUCCACCUCACAGCCCUCCCAUAUUUGCCUGCAGAAAAAGAUGUUCAGUCAUCUACAAAAAGAUGCAUGAAGUGAAAAUUAUUGCUCGCAACCUAAUGAAGAUAGUUCUCUUCCUACUCUUUAAAUAUUUUAUGAGGAAUUGAUAAUUUCUCUAUUUAAAGAUGAAUAAUUCCCACUUGAAAAUUUGGUUUAAAAUGUAUCUUUUAGAAAGAACUCAAAGUCAAAUAAAUGAACACAGUAAUUCUCAAACCACAGCCUGCAGAAUAUUUGCUGGUAAUCCCAAAAGAGCUGGCUCACAGAGCUGUCUUUCUUCCCUAUUUCCAGUAAACAAUUUGCAUUCAGGACAGCUAAAAAUGCACUAUGUUGUUUGCUAAUAUUACUUUUUCACUUGAGAAUUGUGGCAGUUGCCCCAGAAAUCAUAUGCAACUGCAAGUGGAAACAAACUUCCAGGUUACAACAGGCACUACAGUUCCUGAAGAAUGGAGCUGAAAGACUUUGCAGCAGAAUCAACCACACAGUUACGUGUGGUUACAGUGGUCCAUAACUCAUAGCAGAAUCAGAGCACAGUUGCAGUUGGGUGGUACCCCAGAGAAUGGUUCACCAGAAGGCUGAAAAAGCUAUCGCUGUUACUGCCGUGAGCCAUGAGGUUUACCCUGAUCCUCAUCUAAUAGAUGCUUACCUU
This is a non-coding RNA of Coturnix japonica (Japanese quail), 4798 nucleotides long. NCBI's taxonomy places the organism in Eukaryota, Metazoa, Chordata, Aves, Galliformes, Phasianidae. The record is from RefSeq and is a predicted model, not a curated record.